GGGGAAUAUUGGGCAAUGGGGGAAACCCUGACCCAGCAACGCCGCGUGAAGGAAGAAGGCCUUCGGGUUGUAAACUUUUGUCCUAUGGGACGAAAAAAAUGACGGUACCAUAGGAGGAAGCUCCGGCUAACUACGUGCCAGCAGCCGCGGUAAUACGUAGGGAGCAAGCGUUGUCCGGAAUUACUGGGCGUAAAGGGUGCGUAGGUGGCCAUGUAAGUCAGGUGUGAAAGACCGGGGCUCAACCCCGGGGUUGCACUUGAAACUGUGUGGCUUGAGUACAGGAGAGGGAAGUGGAAUUCCUAGUGUAGCGGUGAAAUGCGUAGAUAUUAGGAGGAACACCAGUGGCGAAGGCGACUUUCUGGACUGUAACUGACACUGAGGCACGAAAGCGUGGGGAGCAAAC
RNAcentral lists this ribosomal RNA (403 nucleotides) under uncultured bacterium. Its description in RNAcentral is "bacterial SSU rRNA". It matches the Rfam family "Bacterial small subunit ribosomal RNA", at positions 356 to 773 of the family's 1533-position model. The record is from RNAcentral.